UCAUGGCCACACCCCUCCUUUUCAAAUUUUUAAAAUUUUUUUUGUUUGUUUGUUUUACUUGAAAUUAACGUGAACACUCCGUAGAGAAGGCUAGAAUGGAAAACCGUUCACUAACAGAAGACUUGGAGAGAACCCCUCUGAUUGUGGAUUCCGGCCGGCGCUAGUCCGAAGUCCCGCCCCCGGGAGAGGGCGCGGUCCCCGCCGCCGCCUCGGGCAGAGCUGGUCACCACCAUCGCGCCGCCACCGCUGUCCUGGUCUCUCCCCGACGUCUGGCAUCCUCCCCGGCCGGGGCCCGGACGGUGCGCGGGCAUGGCCGGCCGAGCUGCAGAUAAACAGCAGUACCCCCGUCUCCCCGGGCCAUUGCCACCUCUUCCGCCCCCCUGCCCUCGUCCCGCUCGCCAGUGCCUCCACCCCGCAAUCCCAGGACCGGCGCCGCUUUCCUCCCACCCCCCGCACCCUCCGCCCGCGCCGGGCUAGUCGGGCGCUAAGCCCGCCGGCGCCGCGGUGAGGCGGCGAGUCCGCGCGCAGGUCCGGGCGCGGGGCUGCCUGGAACCGCGGGGAGGCGGCACCGGAAUUCUGUACGCUGUGCCCGAGAUACUCUCUGCCCUUAUCAUUUCCCCAUUAAAGGUCUGCUGUGGGGACCUCACCGGCGGGCAUCUCCAGGCCCCGGCCCAGGACGGGCUUAGCAGGUGCGCACCCGGAACCCCUGCGGGCGCUCCGGGAGAAGCAAGUGGCCGCCGCCGCCCGGGUUGUCUCUGGCUUUUUAGCUCUCCGGACAACAGCAGCGGCCUCUGGGCCACGCUCUCCCUCCGGCUCCGCGCUCCUGUCUGGUCUCCGCCUCUGCCGUCUGCUUCCCCGGCUUUCUGUCCCCACCGCGGUUGCAGCCUCGGAGCGCGGGUGGAAACUGCAGGGAAAUGGAGCUUCGAAGCGUCCUUUCGAAAACCUAUCACUCUCCCUGAGGUGGGCUUCCUGCCCGCCCUGCCCCGGUUCGUCCUCCGGCUGUUUUCUUUUACCGCCCGUUGCUCUGCUCGCCUUUUAAAGUCUCAGAGUCCUCAAAAAAGUCUCCAUCAGAAGCCACCUGAAAUCUCUCCACUCCCAGCACCCAACGCUAAGACUACCAACAGAACAAACGACACAUGAUUAAUGUUUCCUUCCUCACAUCCCUUCCCUUCCCAACCUAUUUCUCAGAAUCAUUUUGCAAUACGCAAAUCAAAAUGUUGUACACCUUAAAGUUACACAAUGUUAUGUGGCACUUAUAUCUCAAUAAAAGUGAAAGUUAUUCUCUUUAACA
RNAcentral lists this long non-coding RNA (1291 nucleotides) under Bos indicus x Bos taurus (hybrid cattle). RNAcentral describes it as "lncRNA (ENSBIXG00005002408.1)". Lineage: Eukaryota; Metazoa; Chordata; Mammalia; Artiodactyla; Bovidae. The record is from RNAcentral.